GAUGAACGCUGACAGAAUGCUUAACACAUGCAAGCCAACUUGAACUUCGGUUUGGGUGGCGGACGGGUGAGUAACGCGUAAAGAACUUGCCUCACAGAUAGGGACAACAUUUGGAAACGAAUGCUAAUACCUGAUAUUAUGAUUUUAGGGCAUCCUAGAAUUAUGAAAGCUAUAUGCGCUGUGAGAGAGCUUUGCGUCCCAUUAGCUAGUUGGAGAGGUAACGGCUCACCAAGGCGAUGAUGGGUAGCCGGCCUGAGAGGGUGAUCGGCCACAAGGGGACUGAGACACGGCCCUUACUCCUACGGGAGGCAGCAGUGGGGAAUAUUGGACAAUGGACCAAGAGUCUGAUCCAGCAAUUCUGUGUGCACGAUGAAGUUUUUCGGAAUGUAAAGUGCUUUCAGUUGGGAAGAAAAAAAUGACGGUACCAACAGAAGAAGUGACGGCUAAAUACGUGCCAGCAGCCGCGGUAAUACGUAUGUCACAAGCGUUAUCCGGAUUUAUUGGGCGUAAAGCGCGUCUAGGUGGUUAUAUAAGUCUGAUGUGAAAAUGCAGGGCUCAACUCUGUAUUGCGUUGGAAACUGUGUAACUAGAGUACUGGAGAGGUAAGCGGAACUACAAGUGUAGAGGUGACAAUUCGUAGAUAUUUGUAGGAAUGCCGAUGGGGAAGCCAGCUUACUGGACAGAUACUGACGCUGAAGCGCGAAAGCGUGGGGAGCGAACUCGAUUAUAUCCCUUUGUAGUCAAGGCCGAAUUCCACAGC
This 760-nucleotide ribosomal RNA is filed under the name uncultured Fusobacterium sp. RNAcentral's name for it is "bacterial SSU rRNA". It matches the Rfam family "Bacterial small subunit ribosomal RNA", at positions 28 to 813 of the family's 1533-position model. Lineage: Bacteria; Fusobacteriati; Fusobacteriota; Fusobacteriia; Fusobacteriales; Fusobacteriaceae. The record is from RNAcentral.